CACUAUCGUUAACUGAAUACAUAGGUUAACGAGGCGAACCGGGGGAACUGAAACAUCUAAGUACCCCGAGGAAAAGAAAUCAACCGAGAUUCCCCCAGUAGCGGCGAGCGAACGGGGAGCAGCCCAGAGUCUGAAUCAGCUUGUGUGUUAGUGGAACGGUCUGGAAAGUCCGACGGUACAGGGUGAUAGUCCCGUACACCAAAAUGCACAGGUUGUGAACUCGAAGAGUAGGGCGGGACACGUGGUAUCCUGUCUGAAUAUGGGGGGACCAUCCUCCAAGGCUAAAUACUCCUGACUGACCGAUAGUGAACCAGUACCGUGAGGGAAAGGCGAAAAGAACCCCGGCGAGGGGAGUGAAAAAGAACCUGAAACCGUGUACGUACAAGCAGUGGGAGCACCUUCGGGUGUGACUGCGUACCUUUUGUAUAAUGGGUCAGCGACUUAUAUUCUGUAGCAAGGUUAACCGUAUAGGGGAGCCGCAGGGAAACCGAGUCUUAACUGGGCGUUAAGUUGCAGGGUAUAGACCCGAAACCCGGUGAUCUAGCCAUGGGCAGGUUGAAGGUUGGGUAACACUAACUGGAGGACCGAACCGACUAAUGUUGAAAAAUUAGCGGAUGACUUGUGGCUGGGGGUGAAAGGCCAAUCAAACCGGGAGAUAGCUGGUUCUCCCCGAAAGCUAUUUAGGUAGCGCCUCGUGAAUUCAUCUUCGGGGGUAGAGCACUGUUUCGGCUAGGGGGUCAUCCCGACUUACCAACCCGAUGCAAACUACGAAUACCGAAGAAUGUUAUCACGGGAGACACACGGCGGGUGCUAACGUCCGUCGUGAAGAGGGAAACAACCCAGACCGCCAGCUAAGGUCCCAAAGUCAUGGUUAAGUGGGAAACGAUGUGGGAAGGCACAGACAGCCAGGAUGUUGGCUUAGAAGCAGCCAUCAUUUAAAGAAAGCGUAAUAGCUCACUGGUCGAGUCGGCCUGCGCGGAAGAUGUAACGGGGCUAAACCAUGCACCGAAGCUGCGGCAGCGACACUAUGUGUUGUUGGGUAGGGGAGCGUUCUGUAAGCCUGCGAAGGUGNUGCUGGAGGUAUCAGAAGUGCGAAUGCUGACAUAAGUAACGAUAAAGCGGGUGAAAAGCCCGCUCGCCGGAAGACCAAGGGUUCCUGUCCAACGUUAAUCGGGGCAGGGUGAGUCGACCCCUAAGGCGAGGCCGAAAGGCGUAGUCGAUGGGAAACAGGUUAAUAUUCCUGUACUUGGUGUUACUGCGAAGGGGGGACGGAGAAGGCUAUGUUAGCCGGGCGACGGUUGUCCCGGUUUAAGCAUGUAGGCUGGUUAUCCAGGCAAAUCCGGAUAAUCAAGGCUGAGGUGUGAUGACGAGGCACUACGGUGCUGAAGUAACAAAUGCCCUGCUUCCAGGAAAAGCCUCUAAGCAUCAGGUAACAUCAAAUCGUACCCCAAACCGACACAGGUGGUCAGGUAGAGAAUACCAAGGCGCUUGAGAGAACUCGGGUGAAGGAACUAGGCAAAAUGGUGCCGUAACUUCGGGAGAAGGCACGCUGGUGUGUAGGUGAAGCCCCUGCGGGUGGAGCUGAGACCAGUCGAAGAUACCAGCUGGCUGCAACUGUUUAUUAAAAACACAGCACUGUGCAAACACGAAAGUGGACGUAUACGGUGUGACGCCUGCCCGGUGCCGGAAGGUUAAUUGAUGGGGUUAUCCGUAAGGAGAAGCUCUUGAUCGAAGCCCCGGUAAACGGCGGCCGUAACUAUAACGGUCCUAAGGUAGCGAAAUUCCUUGUCGGGUAAGUUCCGACCUGCACGAAUGGCGUAAUGAUGGCCAGGCUGUCUCCACCCGAGACUCAGUGAAAUUGAACUCGCUGUGAAGAUGCAGUGUACCCGCGGCAAGACGGAAAGACCCCGUGAACCUUUACUAUAGCUUGACACUGAACAUUGAGCCUUGAUGUGUAGGAUAGGUGGGAGGCUUUGAAGCGUGGACGCCAGUCUGCGUGGAGCCAACCUUGAAAUACCACCCUUUAAUGUUUGAUGUUCUAACGUUGGCCCCUUACCGGGGUUGCGGACAGUGUCUGGUGGGUAGUUUGACUGGGGCGGUCUCCUCCCAAAGCGUAACGGAGGAGCACGAAGGUUAGCUAAUCCUGGUCGGACAUCAGGAGGUUAGUGCAAUGGCAUAAGCUAGCUUGACUGCGAGCGUGACGGCGCGAGCAGGUGCGAAAGCAGGUCAUAGUGAUCCGGUGGUUCUGAAUGGAAGGGCCAUCGCUCAACGGAUAAAAGGUACUCCGGGGAUAACAGGCUGAUACCGCCCAAGAGUUCAUAUCGACGGCGGUGUUUGGCACCUCGAUGUCGGCUCAUCACAUCCUGGGGCUGAAGUAGGUCCCAAGGGUAUGGCUGUUCGCCAUUUAAAGUGGUACGCGAGCUGGGUUUAGAACGUCGUGAGACAGUUCGGUCCCUAUCUGCCGUGGGCGCUGGAGAAUUGAGGGGGGCUGCUCCUAGUACGAGAGGACCGGAGUGGACGCAUCACUGGUGUUCGGGUUGUCAUGCCAAUGGCACUGCCCGGUAGCUAAAUGCGGAAGAGAUAAGUGCUGAAAGCAUCUAAGCACGAAACUUGCCCCGAGAUGAGUUCUCCCUGAGACUUUAAGUCUCCUGAAGGAACGUUGAAGACGACGACGUUGAUAGGCCGGGUGUGUAAGCGCAGCGAUGCGUUGAGCUAACCGGUACUAAUGAACCGUGAGGCUUAACCUU
Molecule: ribosomal RNA, 2747 nt
Filed under: Klebsiella pneumoniae
Lineage: Bacteria; Pseudomonadati; Pseudomonadota; Gammaproteobacteria; Enterobacterales; Enterobacteriaceae
Also listed under: 1 other name
Description: 23S ribosomal RNA
Rfam family: Bacterial large subunit ribosomal RNA
Source: RNAcentral